Molecule: ribosomal RNA, 253 nt
Filed under: uncultured bacterium
Lineage: Bacteria
Description: partial 16S ribosomal RNA
Rfam family: Bacterial small subunit ribosomal RNA
Source: RNAcentral
UACGGGGGGGGCAAGCGUUGUUCGGAAUUACUGGGCGUAAAGGGCUCGUAGGUGGCCAACUAAGUCAGACGUGAAAUCCCUCGGCUUAACCGGGGAACUGCGUCUGAUACUGGAUGGCUUGAGUUCGGGAGAGGGAUGCGGAAUUCCAGGUGUAGCGGUGAAAUGCGUAGAUAUCGAGAGGAACACCUGCGGCGAAGGCGGGUUGCUGGGCUGACACUGACGCUGAAGCGCGAAAGCUAGGGGAGCGAACGGG